UCACGUGUUUGUUUUUCUACUGUCCAGACCCUGAAUCUACUGACUGCCACAACCAUCAGCAUGGCAGGAUCAUCCAGUACUCCAUCAGAUCAAGGGUCCAAAGGAACCUCCUAGAAAAGCAGCACUUGUCUUUCCCAGCUGGCCAACACUCAACACCAGGUGGAGGAUCUAUCUCAGAGAGACGUUUCUAACAUCUGAGGCUACUGCCUAUGCCCUGGCCAAACAGCUACAAAAAUACCGGAAUACAAAAUCCUCAUACAAGAUCAGGACCUACAGUUGAGUCAGCUGAGGCAGAACUCACAAGAGGGGAGACACGCUGCCCACCACCUCCAACAGCAUCUCACCAACCUCCUCACCCAUCAUGGCUGCAACAACUGCCAGGACCAGAGCCUUCAACACCAACUGGCCGAGAUGUGCAGGAUGUCAGAGUGCCUUGUACCAGCAGCUGAGCCCAGGUAACAUGACCACAGGCCCUGUGUACACUGAACUGUGCCCAGAUGCCAAGAUCAUAGAACACCUCACUCCAAAGGGGACUUGUCAUCUGUUGCUGCAGUUUCCAGUCACAUGAGGGCAAUAUAGGGUGGGAAGAGAGGAGAGAAUGCACAAGAAGGAGGUCACUGUGUGCAACUUCCUCUAUCCCCCAGGAGGAGCAGGGCCAGCUGUGGGAGCAGCCAGCACCCAUCCAGUGUGAAUAUACAACAGGAGGGCCGGAAGAUGGUUGUUGGAGUGAAAACAUCCCUGGGCUAAACACCAAGCUCCCAGCUUCCAGCACAAGUGCCAAUUUCAAAUCCGUGCAGGAGUGAGCAUGUCAUCAUUGUGAGUGAGAGGUUCCUAAGAUUCCUGGACUAAAACAUCAAACACUUUGUGGAUUUGUCACAUCUGCAACCUCUACAUUGUUACUUUGUUGUGACCA
Ochotona princeps (American pika) is the source of this 913-nucleotide long non-coding RNA. RefSeq lists it as uncharacterized. The record is from RefSeq and is a predicted model, not a curated record. The transcript is spliced from 2 exons. NCBI's taxonomy places the organism in Eukaryota, Metazoa, Chordata, Mammalia, Lagomorpha, Ochotonidae.